UACGAGGGGGGCGAGCGUUGUUCGGAAUUAUUGGGCGUAAAGGGCGCGUAGGCGGUCGGAUAAGUCUUGUGUGAAAUCUUCGGGCUCAACUCGAAGUCUGCACAGGAAACUAUCUGGCUUGAGUGUGGGAGAGGUGAGUGGAAUUCCUGGUGUAGCGGUGAAAUGCGUAGAUAUUGGGAGGAACACCAGUGGCGAAGGCGGCUCACUGGACCGGAACUGACGCUGAGGCGCGAAAGCGUGGGGAGCAAACAGG
This 253-nucleotide ribosomal RNA is filed under the name uncultured bacterium. Its description in RNAcentral is "partial 16S ribosomal RNA". It matches the Rfam family "Bacterial small subunit ribosomal RNA", at positions 524 to 776 of the family's 1533-position model. The record is from RNAcentral.